Molecule: long non-coding RNA, 2187 nt
Organism: Triticum dicoccoides
Lineage: Eukaryota; Viridiplantae; Streptophyta; Magnoliopsida; Poales; Poaceae
Exons: 2
Source: RefSeq, a predicted model, not a curated record
UCGGGUGCCGCCUGUAUGCCGCACCCGCAGCCACGCGCCCGAGGCCGAGCUCCCGAGCGCGCCGCCGCCUCGACCUCGCGACCCGCCGGCGACCGGAUCCUCGCCGGAGAUGAGUGCCGCCGUCCCCUGCUCCCUCCUCUCUCCCUCUGUCUCCUCUCACCUUGCUCAUCCCCCGAUCUCUCUGUCCCCCAGAACGAAAGGAGCAUGCCAUGGCCUCGGAUCCGCGCCGCCGUCGCCGGAGAACCUCGUCCGCCACCGGUUCUUCGACCACAACUACCGGAUCAAGUUGCCCCGCCUCUGAUCUACCCGUUCCCGGCCACCCCAACCUCGCCUCGUCAUCGGGCGCGCAGAGAGACGGCCAUGGCCGCCUGAUUCCCGAGCGCCGCCGGCCAAGGUAUUGGAGGGGUGGUUCUGGAGCACAAGCUGCGGCGAGUUGUGCGCUAUGUGACAGAGGAGACCGCCGAGAUCUUGCAAGGGUGGUUCCGGAGCGAAGUGGGAUGUGUGUCGGGUGAAGGACGCCCUUGUGGCGAACGGCGCUAGGUGCUAUCAGCUGGGAAGGCUUCGGACCGGACCAUGGAUGGUGCAGCGGGUGAGAGUUGGGGCAGACGGCGAGUGUGGUGGAUGCCGAUGCCGCCUAGGUUCUGUUGAUAUCGACAUGGAGGAUACAUAGAGUUUGCUGACUCUAUUUCUGUGUUGGCCCUUGAGAGGGAAACCAAGGCAAAAUUCAGCCAAUUUCAGGUGCAUAUAUAUAUCUAUCCCAUGGGUUUGAGUCCCUAGCUAACUUGGAGCAUUGCACGUAUUGUUAAAUAUAGUUAGUUUCUUUAGUUUACUCGCAAUAAUUGUGAUAAGCAGAGCAGAUACGUGCUUGAUUUUAUUUUGAUACGUAGCUGGCAUGAUGUGAUUUACUAAGUAUUAAUUUGGAAAAACUAGGCCUGGAGAUAAUAUGCCUCCCCGUUUUCUGAGGAUAGUGACUUGUGCAGUGAUCAAAUUCAAUAGGUUUAUAUGAUAAGCUUCUUCAUCUAUGUUAAUUUUUACCUCCGUUUAUAGAACUCUGGUUGUGUUAACAGCUUGAGACGUCCUUAAAGACCUUGUGGUUGAUUUCCAUGUCUGCAUGAUAAUUGCUUGCUGAAAUAACUGGUCCUUCAGCUGUACACUGUAGUUAGGGAAAUCCAUAAUCUUCAUAUACUUAAAGCAUGACAUUUACCUGGAGAUAGUGUGCCUCCCUGUUUUGUGCAACAAUCGAUUGUGGUGAUAUACUGUGGCCAAAUUGAAUGAGCUUAUACGAUUAACUUCUUCAUCCACAUUUUCAGUUUGGUUUAUGGAAAUUGAACUACUGUCGUGUUAACACACUCAGCCAGGGCGUCGCCGCACUCUAUCAGCCUCGUGGGGCUUGCAGGUUAAGUAGGUUGCGCCCACUCCAUCAGGAUGUCCUCCCCACUGUUAGUGUUAACUGAUUAAUCAUGCACAUCCAUUGAAGCAAAGAUUCAGACAAAUGUUUGAUUCACUAUAAUUAAUCAAUCAGUAAAAGACCAAUUGCUUAAUCCUACUAGCUAGACACUCCAUCCAUCCAAUCCAGUGAGUUUAAAUUGAUUAAUCCUGCACAUCCUUAAAUUAUGAAGAGUAAUGAAAAUAUUUUGGUGUUGGAGGAGCAGCCAGCAAGUGCAGUUUCUAUGGAGAACACUGAUUUGCGACCUCAGCUCAGCCAUAUUGAAUAAAUUGAUUACUCUAUGAAAUAGGAGUUAGCCCAUAAUAGUAAUGCCACUCCAAUAUUGGAGGAAGUGUCGAUUGAGCUGAGAAAAUUACUUGACGAUGAAAGGAACGGCUUGCUUCAAAAUUUGCAAAAUAACUUCUCCAAGCUCUCAGUAGAGAAGCAAUAAUGUGACUCCCAGGUGCCACUCUGAGAGAAAAGCUGGAGAUGCUUUGGCAAUGGCAAAAUAAUAAGUAAUUGCUACAGACGCCAGCCAGAUAGCAGAUGAAAGGACAAGGGUGAAAAAGUCAAGCUAUUGGAGAGGUCAAUUGAGGAGAUCAGAAGUACUUUAUGUGCUCUCAAAAGUAGCUUUACUCAGUUUGAGUGGAUUUUGUGGCCUAACUUCCAGACUAGCAUUUUGGAAGAAGUUAGAAUUUAUGUUAAUACGACUUUAGUUUAGCCUGACUGAAAUAAGGGGCAAUACUUAAUUUUGUAAUGUA